Molecule: Y RNA, 102 nt
Filed under: Nannospalax galili (Upper Galilee mountains blind mole rat)
Lineage: Eukaryota; Metazoa; Chordata; Mammalia; Rodentia; Spalacidae
Description: Y RNA (ENSNGAG00000006993.1)
Rfam family: Y RNA
About the family: Y RNAs are components of the Ro ribonucleoprotein particle (Ro RNP), in association with Ro60 and La proteins. The Y RNAs and Ro60 and La proteins are well conserved, but the function of the Ro RNP is not known.
Source: Rfam by way of RNAcentral
GGUUGGUCCAAGUACAGUGGCGCUUACAACUAAUUGAUCACAACUAGUUACAGAUUUCUUUGUUCCUUCUCCACCCCCACUGCUUCACUUGACCGGCCUUUA